This is a non-coding RNA of Brassica napus (rape), 125 nucleotides long. NCBI's taxonomy places the organism in Eukaryota, Viridiplantae, Streptophyta, Magnoliopsida, Brassicales, Brassicaceae. The record is from Rfam.
GGAAGUUAAGAAAUUGUUUCUUAACUUUUAACUAAAAAAGUUAAGAACCGGUUCUUAAUUAAAGAUUUUAAGAACCGGUUCUUAGCAUUUUUAGUUAAAAGUUAAGAAACAGUUUCUUAACUUCC